CAGAGGGUGCGAACGUUGCUCGGAAUUACUGGGCGUAAAGCGCGUGUAGGCGGGUCGGCAAGUCAGGCGUGAAAUCCCCAGGCUCAACCUGGGAACUGCGCUUGAAACUGCCGGUCUUGAGUAUCGGAGAGGGUGGCGGAAUUCCUGGUGUAGAGGUGAAAUUCGUAGAUAUCAGGAGGAACACCGGUGGCGAAGGCGGCCACCUGGACGAUUACUGACGCUGAGACGCGAAAGCGUGGGGAGCAAACAGGAUUAGAUACCCUGGUAGUCCACGCCGUAAACGAUGGGUGCUAGGUGUCUCGGGUAUUGACCCCUGAGGUGCCGUAGCUAACGCGUUAAGCACCCCGCCUGGGAAGUACGGCCGCAAGGCUA
RNAcentral lists this ribosomal RNA (372 nucleotides) under uncultured organism. RNAcentral's name for it is "bacterial SSU rRNA". It matches the Rfam family "Bacterial small subunit ribosomal RNA", at positions 526 to 896 of the family's 1533-position model. The record is from RNAcentral.